RNAcentral lists this ribosomal RNA (161 nucleotides) under uncultured eukaryote. Its description in RNAcentral is "partial 18S ribosomal RNA". It matches the Rfam family "Eukaryotic small subunit ribosomal RNA", at positions 1299 to 1458 of the family's 1831-position model. The record is from RNAcentral.
UGGUGGAGCGAUUUGUCUGGUCAAUUCCGAUAACGAACGAGACUCUAGCCUACUAAAUAGUUCGGCGAACCCACAGAGGGGCCCGCUUCAACUUCUUGGAGGGACAGGUGGCUCUUGGAGGGACAGGUGGCGUUUAAGCCACACGAGAUCGAGCAAUAACA